Long non-coding RNA from Callorhinus ursinus (northern fur seal), 847 nucleotides. RefSeq lists it as uncharacterized. NCBI's taxonomy places the organism in Eukaryota, Metazoa, Chordata, Mammalia, Carnivora, Otariidae. The record is from RefSeq and is a predicted model, not a curated record.
AGGUUCUGUCCUGGCUUGGAGGCUGGGAGCAAGCCUCUCGUGUGCUGACGUGGGUUCCUGCUGGCACGGCACGCAGCUCCUCGGCACCUGGGUUUGCAGUCAAGGUGGGAGGAUGCAGCAAGGCCAUCUGGGGGCACCUGCCCCCCAGGACAUCUGCUGUUGCCGCUGGGACCCUGGGAAACGGAGCCAGCCAAGAUGUCAGAUGACCGCGGGCUGCUUCCUGAGACCUCACCUGUGUCGUCUUUUCUGACCAUGUUCAGCAAGAUGGAUGGGGGAGUAAAGCCACUGUCUGUCUACACAGCUUGGCUAGGGCAGUCAGCUCCACUUCUUGCCCAUCUACAAAAUCUUACAGAAGAUGCUCAUGAGCUCAGGAACAAAGUGGCUGCUCGGUGGAGGGUCAUGCAUGAACCCAGUAUGUGCUCGGGACGUGCUUUUAGUGCAGUGACUCCUACAUGUGCCUGCCUGAGUUGGGGGAUCUUUCCCUGAUGGCACCUUCUUCUGAGAGAUUCUCCAGAUGGCCACAAAGCCUGAUGUCCUACAGCAUUUGGAUUGUGUCUCUCAUUGACCUACGUCAGAUCCUGGGAACCACUUGUUUUCAUGCUGCUUCAUGAAAUCCGGACAUUGUGUGGAGGAAUAGAAGAAGCACAUGGGAAUAGAGAGAGUCAUAAAUGAAAUCACAGCCUCCUGAAAAGAGACCCCACCAUACGCAUGAUGAUAUGUGUUUAGGGAAGCACAAUCAGUAACAUAUAAAUCUUACUUGAUGCUAGUGGUUGUAUGAUUUGAAUUUAUGUGAGAGUUUGAGUCAAGACUAUUCUGCUUAGGGGCGCCUGGGUGGCUCAGUCAUUAA